AUACUUACCUGGUACAGGGAAUACCGUGAUCAUCCAGGCGGUUUCCCC
RNAcentral lists this small nuclear RNA (48 nucleotides) under Pharus legumen. RNAcentral describes it as "partial u1 snRNA". Lineage: Eukaryota; Metazoa; Mollusca; Bivalvia; Adapedonta; Pharidae. The record is from RNAcentral.